Molecule: ribosomal RNA, 875 nt
Filed under: uncultured organism
Description: bacterial SSU rRNA
Rfam family: Bacterial small subunit ribosomal RNA
Source: RNAcentral
GAUAAUGACAGUACCUGGUAAAGAAACCCCGGAUAACUCCGUGCCAGCAGACGCAGUAAUACGGAAGAGGUUAGCGUUGUUCGGAAUUACUGGGCGUAAAGCGCACGUAGGCGGACUAUUAAGUCAGAGGUGAAAUCCCGGGGCUCAACACCGGAACUGCCUUGAUUCCUGGUAGUCUUGAGUUCGAGAGAGGUGAGUGGAAUUCCGAUUGUAGAGGUGAAAUUCGGAGAUAUUCGGAGGGACACCUAGUGGCGAAGGCGGCUCACUGGCUCGAAACUGACGCUGAGGUGCGAAAGCGUGGGGAGCAUACAGGAUUAGAUACCCUGGUAGUCCACGCCGUAAACGAUGUAUGCCAGACGUCAGGGGGCUUGCCCUUUGGUGUCACACCUAACGGAUUAAGCAUUCCGCCUGGGGAGUACGUUCGCAAGAUUAUUACUCAAAGGAAUUGACGGGGGCCCGCACAACCGGUGGAGCAUGUGGUUUAAUUCGAAGCAACGCGCAGAACCUUACCAACCCUUGACAUCCCGAUCGCGGUUACCAGAGAUGGUUUCCUUCAGAUCGGCUGGAUCGGUGACAGGUACUGCAUGGCUGUCGUCAGCUCGUGUCGUGAGAUGUUCGGUUAAGUCCGGCAACGAGCGCAACCCACACCCUUAGUUGCCAGCAGUUCGGCUGGGCACUCUAAGGGAACUGCCCGUGAUAAGCGGGAGGAAGGUGUGGAUGACGUCAAGUCCUCAUGGCCCUUACGGGUUGGGCUACACACGUGCUACAAUGGUGCUCACAGUGAGUUAAUCUCCAGAAGGCAUCUCAGUUCGGAUUGGGGUCUGCAACUCGACCCCAUGAAGUCGGAAUCGCUAGUAAUCGCGUAACAGCAUGAC